RNAcentral lists this ribosomal RNA (405 nucleotides) under uncultured bacterium. RNAcentral describes it as "partial 16S ribosomal RNA". It matches the Rfam family "Bacterial small subunit ribosomal RNA", at positions 30 to 526 of the family's 1533-position model. The record is from RNAcentral.
AUUGAACGCUAGCGGGAUGCUUUACACAUGCAAGUCGAACGAGUGGCGGACGUGUGAGUUAUAUAUCGGAACCUUCCCAGUAGCGGGGGAUAACUACUCGAAAGAGUUGCUACUACCGCAUCCCCUUGGUGCGGCCCCUAUGUGAUUAGCUAGUUGGUGGGGUAAAGGCUCACCAAGGCAACGAUCCAUAGCUGGUUUGAGAGGACGACCAGCCACACUGGGACUGAGACACGGCCCAGAAUCCUACGGGAGGCAGGAGUGGGGAAUUUUGGACAAAGGGGGAAACCCUGAUCCAGCCAUCCCGCGUGUAUGAGAAGGCCUUCGGGUUGUAAAGUACUUUUGGCAGAGAUGCGGUAACUGAAGAAUAAGCACAGGCUAACUACGUGCCAGCAGCCGCGGUAAUGG